UACAUCUUCCCUGCUGCUGCUGGAGCAGGAUGCUGAGGAGAACUGAGACUGCCCAGAAGAGUCUGCACAAGCCUCCAGAGAACCCUGCAACUACUGAUGCUGAGGAGCCGCUAUUACUACCCUUGGCCAUAUAUCCUGGGAAGACUGAAGAUGACCCCUGGACACAGGUAUUUGAGAAAUUGCUUCUCUUCUCAAAGAACUCAAGUGUGGAACUAGACUACUGAAAUGUACUCUACACAUCGUUACUUCAUUAGAAUGAUUUGGAGACUGAAGCUGAUCCAGAAUGCAACAGCUUGCUUAUUGAUACCAGUGCUCUGGGAUCUACACUGUCUCCAGUUGGAAUUUAAGUUGUUGACCUGUAAAUCAUCAAAUGCC
Molecule: long non-coding RNA, 375 nt
Organism: Mauremys reevesii (Reeves's turtle)
Lineage: Eukaryota; Metazoa; Chordata; Testudines; Geoemydidae
Exons: 2
Source: RefSeq, a predicted model, not a curated record